Anopheles cruzii is the source of this 580-nucleotide long non-coding RNA. RefSeq lists it as uncharacterized. The transcript has 3 exons. Lineage: Eukaryota; Metazoa; Arthropoda; Insecta; Diptera; Culicidae. The record is from RefSeq and is a predicted model, not a curated record.
GACACCCAGUUUUAUGUAAUAAGCUGCCGCUGCACAGCGCUAGUUAACAUUUUCAAUUGUCCGUGUUACUGGAAUGUAAGGGAACAGACAAAGUUUGGCAUCGAAUAGGGCAAACAGCUUGCAGAUUCGUCAGAUGAACCAACAUUUGGUGCGAAUCGCAGAGAGUGAAGAAAACGGUGUUUGUUUCUCCGGUGUUCCGGUGGGUUAGGAGUAUUGAUCGGAAUUUAUCUAGCGUAGCAUUUCUUCGCCGCCAGUGCUGCUUCGUAACAUUCAACCAGAUCAUUGCAGCCAGAAACGGCCACACCGGCGUCCCAGCGAUGAAGAAAGACGAUAAGCUGACGAAGGAAAAGCUGGACCGCAAAGUGAGACACCCCACUGCAUCGUUUUCCACAAAAUCCAUCAUCAUGAACCUGAUAAUAGCAUUUUUUCUGUACUUGCUGCGACGCACGAUAGAAGCUGGUGGGAAAAGUGCGAUCACAAAGUAUAGUAAAUUUAUCAAGUAAACUUUGUUGUACCGACACCAAAAGCCAACGAAACCAGCGGAAUGCAAAUAAACUUUUUUAUAUGAGAUCUGUCUUCU